Molecule: long non-coding RNA, 1321 nt
Filed under: Phoenix dactylifera (date palm)
Lineage: Eukaryota; Viridiplantae; Streptophyta; Magnoliopsida; Arecales; Arecaceae
Description: long non-coding RNA (PDAC_LNC004396)
Source: RNAcentral
UAGUAUGUUAAAUUAUGGAUGUUAAUUCUCGGGGUGUCGGCUAGUAAAAUUAGGCAUUAGUUCCCAUUUUGUUAAGAAUACUAAAAGAUGGGUGAGGGGUUUGACAUGUUGAGGAUUUGCAAAAUAGUUAGGAAUCUGUUUGGGUUUGUUUCUCGUUGUGGUUGAGUUCUCUUAAUGGAUAUGUACCAAAGAGUGAAAAGAUCUCGACGUAUAUAACUGUUUAACUUUAACAAAAGCACCACCCUUGAACUCUCUCUCUCUCUCUAUCUCUCUUUUUCUUUUUUUUACUUUUGGGAGAUUGGAUAUGUAUGAUUUAUUAUGCCUCUAACCAAGGAACUGUCAAGUACCGAGAGAAUCACCUAGGGUGUUUCACAAAAACAUGACUAAAGAAGUGGAUUAAAUUCGUUCAUGCAGCAAAGAUGCAAUUUAACACAGUUCUUCAUAUUUGAAAAUAAACAACUCCAAUUUAAGCAGCCUAUGCACUAUCUUCCCCUUGUCUCUUAUCCCAUGUUGUAGGUAUCAUGAAGGUUUGUUAUUGAAGGAGGAAAGUCAAUUUUUUUUUUCAACAAAUUUUCAAGAAAAAAUUGCAUGCCGCUCAAAAGCUUGCUUGAAGCGGAAGCUUCGCUGGAAAGGCUGAGCACAGAUUUUAGGUGGGAGUUUCAACCAUAUCAACAGCUUUUAGUGGCCUUAUAAGAGGCCCUUCAGCUAUCUCCAAGGAAUUAUGCUCCCUAUCAAGUGAUACAAUGUAUUGGCACCUUAGCAUCUAGGCUUGAUAUUUCACCAUGAUCACUUAAGAAAGGUUGGGAGAUAAUGUUCCUAAACUAACAUCCAUUGCCCUGGAUGCAAGUUAUUUAGUUAUUUAGAAUUAUCAUGAGGCCAUCCAGGACAUAGAAUGGUGCUGAGGUAUUUGGUUGUUAAGUGGCAAAGAAUAGCUAAAGCAAUGCCGCACAGGAGCUUUGUCAAAAUCGAUCAGAAUGGUUCAUCAAUUCUCAUUAUGAAGACAAAAUUGUUUCAGGAAAGGGCAAGUGAUACAUUCUGGUAAGCAGUUACUGGAUUAUCUGGUUAGUGGUUAUAGUACCUGGUAAUUUAGCAGUUCACUACAUAGUGUUUUAUGUUGUAGCUGUUGUCUGUCGUGUUGAUCUGGUAAGAUUUCCUAUUGUUUUAGGAGUAUUAGGAGAUGAGCAAGUAACAUGGCAUAGUAAGGUUGCUCUUGAAAUAGUUCCUAGUUAGGACUUUAUUCGCAUUUGUUUCUCAUUGUAGUUGAGUUUCCUUUAUGGAUGUGGGCUGGAAUGCUAUGGUGCCUAUAUAUAUAUAUAUAUAU